CAGAGGAGAUAAGAUGAUUGAGAUAUGUCCCAGUUUCCUUCACUUUUACUUUUUCAUGCACGCAAUUGCCUGAAUAGGGGUUAGCUUUGAUCUAUCUACCACAGUGACUGCAAAUCGUGCACAUUGUGCGUGAAAGUACCGUAAACGAAUUUGAAACAAGCCUAGUUUACUAUAUAGUCCUACAGACCUUUACUUCCUGUAAGUAAAGUUAAUGAUAGGGUUGAUUGGUCACGAUGUUGAACAUGUCUCAAUUAAGAAUUCGAUUUAAUGAACACAAUUAAUUCACAAUCAGUAAAACAUUUUCUAAUAUGUUUUUUUUCAAGUUUUGUAUGACUGAACUUUAACGUGAGUACUUAUUGGGACAAAUAUUUGAAUGUUGCGAAUUUGAUAGAGUAGAUGGAGUUUUAAAAUAUUUUGAAAAGAGAUGUGGUAUGUGUAAUGUUCACGUUUAGAAUCCACUUUUGCUGGUGGGUGAUAUGUUAUAAUGAACGAUAUUCAAAUUCCCGCCUUUGUUUGCCAACAGUAUGUGCGCGCUACCUCGUGUACGAAAUUGACACUACUUAGUCUAAACAGCUGAUCCCAACACAGCAGUACUACAUUUGUCGUGCAACCUGCAACGUGUUGAGAUGUUGAUUGAGGUGUUUUCUUUACGAAUUAUUAUUUUCCGACACCCUGGUUUAAUUAAUGUUCUUUUAACUUUAGUCAAUCACAGUUAAAAAUAGCAUUGCAUGGGAUAAAUGGUUAUUAUUCUCUGGCCAUCCACUGACCACUGGUGCUGAAUUGUUCGAGCCAUUAGUGCUUGAAACAUUUUUGGUUUGCCAAGCUUUGACCACGUUAUUCGACUAUUUCAAGUGAUUCCCAUGUGUGGAGUAAUAACCAAGAAGCUGAAGGUCCCACAUUGGGAUUUCAACUGUUGCAAAAAUGCAAUAAAAGAAACAGCUCUACAAAAGUUAUUCCUGGUGCUGUGGAUACUUCCCUCUAGCUGAUUCCCUUACACUGAUUGAUCUGAAAGUAGAAACAUCAUCCAAACCAACUAAAUUUCAACUUGACAGCUCUAGAAUAAGAAAUCUCGAUUGUAAGUCAAAUCAAUGCUGUCAAGCUUCAAGUGCAGCUCGUGGGGUGUAUUAACUCAUGGACUAGGAGUAGCACAUUUAUCGAAACCCAUCAGCUACAAGUAUCUGUUGACUGAUGCGGGAAAGGACUGACAUGGGAAGCAGUGGGAGACGUUAAAUAUAGUGGAUGGAUUCGAAGAAGGAAGUAGAAAUUGAACCUCUUUUGUAUC
Daphnia pulicaria is the source of this 1282-nucleotide long non-coding RNA. RefSeq lists it as uncharacterized. The transcript has 4 exons. The record is from RefSeq and is a predicted model, not a curated record. Lineage: Eukaryota; Metazoa; Arthropoda; Branchiopoda; Diplostraca; Daphniidae.